UACGAAGGGGGCUAGCGUUGUUCGGAAUCACUGGGCGUAAAGGGCGCGUAGGCGGCCUGAUAAGUCGGGGGUGAAAGCCUGUGGCUCAACCACAGAAUUGCCUUCGAUACUGUUAGGCUUGAGACCGGAAGAGGUAAGUGGAACUGCGAGUGUAGAGGUGAAAUUCGUAGAUAUUCGCAAGAACACCAGUGGCGAAGGCGGCUUACUGGUCCGGUUCUGACGCUGAGGCGCGAAAGCUAGGGGAGCAAACGGG
This 253-nucleotide ribosomal RNA is filed under the name uncultured bacterium. RNAcentral's name for it is "partial 16S ribosomal RNA". It matches the Rfam family "Bacterial small subunit ribosomal RNA", at positions 524 to 776 of the family's 1533-position model. The record is from RNAcentral.